This 1219-nucleotide long non-coding RNA is filed under the name Homo sapiens (human). Its description in RNAcentral is "non-protein coding LINC02497:5". The record is from RNAcentral. Lineage: Eukaryota; Metazoa; Chordata; Mammalia; Primates; Hominidae.
AAGUGAAUAAAAACACCAUGGAAAAAUUAAUUUGGUAAUACGAAGCAUGGGCUACAUUUCCUGAUUUCAUUUUGUGAUUUGAUGUUAGUCAGUAAACCUGUGAUUAUAUGCUACCCACAGUGAAGGUGAAUUCCAUAUAUCCAAUGAAGUUUUUCAGGAAAACAUCUUAGCUUCUUACAGAAGAAGAAGCAUGAAAUGGCUUUUCACCUCCACCUGUAUGCUGUUUCUAAGCUCAUGAAGCUAGGGAUUUGCCAUGGGGAACCUAGAGAGCAAGAGGGAUUGCUCACUUAAGGGGAAACUAACUACCACGUUAUGCAGCUCUACUGUAAAAAUGCACAGGGUGAGAAACCAAGGCCUCCUUCUGACAGGAGCCACUUGCCGGUCAUGUGAGUAAGCCAUCAUGGAGAUAGGUCCGUGUUUAUAACUGGUGUCAUAUGCCUGUCCCACUGCUGUAUUUUGAAAGCAGGAAACUCAUUUCUUGAGUGUUGCAGGUUCGCAGAGGAAGAAUUGUGCCCCUGGAUGAAUUAUACCUACAGCCUCACUCAUAUCCAAUUUAGAUAAUGUAGGUAAGAGUUGGAAAUUUUGAACUGAUGAGAUCUUGGACUUUGAGUUGAAGCUGUAAUGGAUUGAGACUUUUGGGAACCCUGAAGUGCGGUGAAUGUAUUUUGUGUGUAGGACAUAUAUGAAUCAUUGGGGGGUUAGAAGUGUGCUAUGAUAGAUACCCCCACAUACACACACAAGAGGUCCACUUUUUACUCCCUGAAGCUUGUGAAUAUGUUAACUUACUUGGCAAAAAAAAAAAAAAGGGAAAAAAGAAACUUGGCAGAUGUAAUUAGGUUAAGGGUCUUGAGAUUGGUAGAUUCUUUGGGUAGACCAACUGUAAUCACAUGGCUCCUUGUAAGAGCAGAGAGGCAGUACAUUGGAGGCCAGAGAAAGAUAUCAAGAUCCUAUGCUACUGGCUUUGCUGAUGGAGGAAGAAGCCAUUAAGCCAAGGAAUGCAGGUGGCAUCUAGAAGCUAGAAAAAGCAAGGAAACAGAUUUUGUCCAACAGCCUCCAGAAAGAGAAGAAUGAAAUACAAUUUACCAUAGAAUGCGGCUCUUCGAAAGACUGAAAAAAUUGACAGGACCAGAGAGAGUCCAUCUAGAAGAAUGUCAAACAAACCACUGAAGUAACGUGUUGACAAAAUAACAGCUCUAAUAAAUUGCAAUUUGACUAUAAA